This 607-nucleotide ribosomal RNA is filed under the name uncultured bacterium. RNAcentral's name for it is "bacterial SSU rRNA". It matches the Rfam family "Bacterial small subunit ribosomal RNA", at positions 727 to 1335 of the family's 1533-position model. The record is from RNAcentral.
UCNUGGGAUAACACUGACGUUCAUGCCCGAAAGCGUGGGUAGCAAACAGGAUUAGAUACCCUGGUAGUCCACGCCCUAAACGAUGUCGAUUAGCUGUUGGGCAGCAUGACUGCUUAGUAGCGAAGCUAACGCGUGAAAUCGACCGCCUGGGGAGUACGGUCGCAAGAUUAAAACUCAAAGGAAUUGACGGGGACCCGCACAAGCGGUGGAUGAUGUGGAUUAAUUCGAUGCAACGCGAAGAACCUUACCUGGUCUUGACAUGUACGGAACCCUCCAGAGACGGAGGGGUGCCUUCGGGAGCCGUAACACAGGUGCUGCAUGGCUGUCGUCAGCUCGUGUCGUGAGAUGUUGGGUUAAGUCCCGCAACGAGCGCAACCCUUGUCAUUAGUUGCCAUCAUUAAGUUGGGCACUCUAAUGAGACUGCCGGUGACAAGCCGGAGGAAGGUGGGGAUGACGUCAAGUCCUCAUGGCCCUUAUGACCAGGGCUUCACACGUCAUACAAUGGUCGGUACAGAGGGUAGCCAAGCCGCGAGGUGGAGCCAAUCUCACAAAACCGAUCGUAGUCCGGAUUGCACUCUGCAACUCGAGUGCAUGAAGUCGGAAUCGC